RNAcentral lists this long non-coding RNA (1512 nucleotides) under Phasianus colchicus (ring-necked pheasant). Its description in RNAcentral is "lncRNA (ENSPCLG00000017584.1)". The record is from RNAcentral. Lineage: Eukaryota; Metazoa; Chordata; Aves; Galliformes; Phasianidae.
ACGGACACAAACAGGGGUGGGGACAGACGGACAUCAGCGAUGACGACAUUCGGGACAGACGGACACGGGUGGGGGGAGGGGAAGGAGAUCCCGACCCCAAUGGGAUCCCAGGUUCAGGUCCCAAUGAUCCCAAACCUAAAAAGACCCCAACCCCAAAAAGACCCCAACCCAAAAAGACCCCAACCCCAAAAGACCCCAACCCCAAAAAGACCCCAACCCCAAAAGACCCCAACCCCAAAAGACCCCCACCCCAAAGGGAUCCCAACUCACGAGACCCCCACCCCAAUGAAACACAGACUCAGGAGAUGCUGACCCCAAUGGAAGCCAUGUUCAGGUCCCAAUGAUCCCAAACCCAACGGGACCCCAGACUCAGGAGACCCCAACCCCAUGUUGGGGUGACGGAGACCCCAACCCCAACGGGGUCCCGUGUUGGGGUGACGGAGACCCCAACCCCAAUGGGGUCCUGUGUUGGGUUGAUGGAGACCCCAAAACCAAUGGGGUCCCAUGUUGGAUGCAUGGAGACCCGACCCCAACGGGGUCCCGUGUUGGGUUGAUGGAGACCCCAACCCCAAUAGGGUCCCAUGUUGGAUUGAUGGAGACCCCAACCCAAAUGGGGUCCUGUGUUGGGUUGAUGGAGACCCAACCCCAACGGGGUGUUGGGUUGAUGGAGACCCCAACCCCAACGGGGUCCCAUGUUGGCUUGACAGAGACCCAACCUCAACGGGGUCUCAUGUUGGGUUGAUGGAGACCCCAACCCCAAUGGGGUCCCGUGUUGGGCUGACGGAGACCCCAACUCCAACGGGACCCAGAGCUCAUGAGACCCCAACCCCAACAGGGUGUUGGGUUGACGGAGACCCCAACCCCAACGGGGUCCCACGUUGGCUUGACGGAGACCCAACCUCAACGGGGUCUCGUGUUGGGCUGACGGAGCCCCCAACCCCCCGUGCCCCCCAUCCGACGCCCCCCGCCCGCAGCUCAGUCCCAGUCGGUGGGCUCACAGAUGCUGAGCGGGGCGGCGUUGCGGCGCCCGGCGCGGAUGCCGGGGUAGAAGAGCGGCCAUAUUUUCUCGGUGAAGGUGUCGGUGAAGGUGUAGAGGUGCGAGCGGUCGGUGACGUUGUAGAAGGAAACCUCCCCCGCCUCGUAGUCCACGAAGACCCCCACCCUGGUGGGCUUCACCCUGGGGCUGAGGGGGGUGAAGGGGGCGGUGGUGGCGGCGUAGCGAUCGCCGUUCCAAAGCCGGACCCUCCAAAAUCCGCUCUCGGGCAGCGCCGCCGGCUCCCCGUUGCGACACACCGAGUCCCCGCAGACCCCCAGCGCCCAGUGGGUUUUGUGGCCCACCUCCACCUCCCAGUAAUGGCGGCCCGACGUGAAGCCCCUGGAGCCCAGCACGCACGGGUAGGUGGUGAAGCGGCGGCUGCUGGCCGCCAGGUGGCGCUGGCGGCUCUCGAUGAAACGGACGCUUUUCCGGUCGGGGGAUAAAAGGAGGUUGGGGUGCGCGGUGUCGGGGUCCAG